GUCAAAAAGUGCUCGCGCGCUUGAAUUUUGGGAAAGAGACGAGCACCGAAACAUAAAAAGAGAAAAAAAAACCUUUUGACUGUCCAGUUUGCCCUAAAAGGAUUGGUUCAACACGCGAGAAGACAUCGUGGCGAGAAACCGUUCAGUUGCAGUGUAUGCACACAGCGACAGGAUGCAGCUGUCAAGCCACACCGAACAUUUUUCAAGAUGGUUGCAGCAUCAAGUUACUGAACAGGAAGCCCGUCUCACUCGAAUGACCACGCAGGAAGUCGGCAAGCAGAAAUAGAUUUCAACUAUUUUUUUCCCUAAACUUUUAGCAGAAAAUAAGAUGCUUGGUGAAAAGAAUAUAACCUGUGUAUGGCUGUCCCUCUCAGACAAGGCAACACAUGAUGAGCAACCAACUAAAACGAGCCUGAGAAUACAUGAGAGAAUUGUAUUCACAAGAAUGUUGAUACAUUUAUGCUCUUGUUCAAAACCAGGGUGAAACCGAACGCGAGUUGUGGUUCCAUUUUUUUUAAGAUGCAUUUAUUAAUUAAAGGGAAGAUGACAAAAUUGAGUGAAGCUAAGAAGGGCGUGAAUUAGCAAAAUAGUUGAAACACAACAUCUGAAAAAAAAUAAUAAUAAUAAUGAUGUGUAAGGACUAGAAGUUUUUAGAAAGCAAAUGUCCUACUAAAACAAAACAUCUAAAUUUGUGGAAAACACAAUAUGACUUUGCUGUCCAGCUCAACAUACACACAAAAUUUUUUUUUAUAGAUAACCUGCAAGAUAAAAUAAGAGAAACACACACACACAAAAACGAAAAAAAACCCAACAACAAAAAAAAUAAGAUGGACUCAAGAUGAUGUGAAAACGGCCAUAAAAGGUAUCACAUCUCAUAAAGUUGAUGUAACAUAAUUCGUCCAGGGAACGGAAGACUUGAGAAACUCUUACCACUUAAAUGAUGUGGAAGUACAACAAAUUUGGAUGACAGCAAAGUACUUUCUCACAGCAGCAGGGAGUUCAAGGGUUAAUAUCUCGCACUUCUACUAGAUUGAAAAAAAAAAAAGCAAUUUUUUUUCUGUCAUUGGAAGAGCAAAAUAAAACAACAAUGAACCAUUUGAAGAAUAUAGAAUUGGAAUAAAUGCAUGUUUUAAAGCAAACAGUGGCAUUCCUGAAGAUCACACUCCAGGGAGUGUGUAUCAAGGGCAAUUAAAAAAAUGCUCUUCAUGUGAAUUCAAAUAAUCCUAUAAAACAAUGGAUUGAAAAACAUUGGGUUGACAAACCGACUGGCAGCCUGUAACAAUGCGUAAACCUAGCACUACGCGCAGAAAGAGUGCUACAAAAUAAGAAAGAGAAAAAGAAAAUUGACACCUUUCUGACACAGAAAGGAGAAAUUUAUGGAGCUUUAUGGGAAACAUUUAAUAAUUGUGUACACCCUGACCUGGUUGCCAGCCAACUGACCCCUCCGUACAGGGCACUUAACCACGCCUCCUGAAGUGACGUCACCCCACACUUGCUAACCUCAGACAAACAAUUAGCAAAAAUGGCGUCGCAGGAAGAAAAGACGAGAGCGAAAUUGUCCGAUUUACCAGCUGAUUUUUCACUCGCAUUCUUACGGAAUAGUGAAAUAUCGUUGAAGAAUAGACAGCGGGGCUUCAAGUAUUUCAGCGAGGGGUAUUUCAAUGGUAUUUACAUGCGUAUCGACAGAGAAACCAUCGAUAUUAGCGCGACAUCUUUCCGGAGUCAGAGGAAGACCGAGAAGCCACAUAAUAUAAUAUAUUAUAGCCCAAAGACGAAUUCAUCAUUGACAGUUUCCUAUUUUCGUGUUACCUAUCACACUUGUGUGCAGAAUCUGUAUGUGUAUCUGUAUAGCUGUUUGUGAACCGCCGUAUGAAGGAAAAGAAAAAGGCGAGGCUUGAUUUACGUGUUGUUUCUCUCGUAUUCUUUGUGUAACGUCACGCGCUCCCCUCAAUAAUUAUUCUUGAAUCAGUGCCGAACCUACGUAAGUCCCGACCGAGUACGACAAUCGCUACUUUAGUGCCCUCAAACAUCCUUCCUUCAGUCUUGGUGUCUCGGUGCACGUCGAAGGCUUUUAGGACUCGCUAGUCCGGUUUAGCUUGGCUCGCUAGCCGGCAACAAAGAGACACGUUUGUGCAGUCAGAUCAUCGCAAAAUAUCACUCAACACAGAUCAAGUGUGUCAAUCAUUCACACGUAGCUAUAUUAUGCAAGCGAAGAAUUGCUAAUUCAUUUAUAUGAGACAUGUAUUGAAAAUCAAAUAUAGGGCUUACCCUUCCGGUUGAUGGAUUCAGUUGAUGAUGCAGUCUUCCACAAAGUUUGAUCCAUCGAAGACAUUUUUCGUACUGGGCCUUCGGUUUUGGAAAGGGUACGAAUUGAACUCCACCAACUAGCCUUUCGGGAUACCUGUUGGCACUAUUAUAAAGUCCGUGACUACACCUCUUAACCAUAUCUAUUGUUAAAGAACCCAAAUACCCGAUAAAACGCUAACAAAAGCUAUACUGGACCAUACAACGUUGUCUGAGGAAACUGCGGGUCCAAAAAGGGGGCCUGGUUUAUGCAGAUCUCUGGCCUCUGAUUGAUUCAGCGACGCGGAUGACGCGAUUUCUACGGAGGGGUCAAUUGGCCGCAUCCAUCUUUGGACCUCCCCUUGGGUUCUCCCGAAGGCGAAGGUCCUCUUGGAAAGAUGGAGAUCUGACAUACAUUGAUGCAAAUGGCAUCCCAACUGCAUACCAGAUGAGUAUAAAUUGGUUAACGAGAUUGCUGCAGGAUGGGAAUCCAUCUUGUUAUGGAUAACUCUGAAUAAAAACGUUGACAGAAUCAACUACAUACAUUACAAUGUACAGAAACUAGGUAAUUAUACGGAAGCAGGCUUUAUUGCCAUUAGGGAAACCCCAGCUGCAACCUCACUCAUGACGUUCCAGAACCGCAUAGCGGUCGACACGCUCCUGGCCGAGAAGGGUGGCGACUGCUCAAUGUUCGGUGACCAGUGUUGUUUAUUCCAAAUAUCACAGCACCUGAUGGGUCACGUACAAGGGCACAAGGGGCAUUCAAGGCCUCCGCACCCUGAACCACAAGAUGAAGGAGCACUCUGGUGUGAACACAUCAGCCAGGUCUGAGUGGUGGGCAACCAUAUCCCGCGUCUGGCGGGAAUGACUGUAGAAUGAAUGUUAU
Molecule: RNA transcript, 3169 nt
Organism: Syngnathoides biaculeatus (alligator pipefish)
Lineage: Eukaryota; Metazoa; Chordata; Actinopteri; Syngnathiformes; Syngnathidae
Gene name: E3 ubiquitin-protein ligase TRIM35-like
Exons: 3
Source: RefSeq, a predicted model, not a curated record